AGGCAAGGCCAAGGCUUCUUGAAAGGCUGGUCAUGCCCCAGUGAUCAAUGAAGAACUCAGGGAUAUCCCAAAACUCAGGACUAUAAGGCACAAUGGGGGAGCAGGUACCAGGUGGCCAGCAUCCUAAAUGACUCUCAGCAGCUGCAGAGAACUCAACCAUAUUUACCAGCCUUCCUGUGGUCAUUUGUCUGAGCUCCAGCUAGUGAAGUAUGAGUAGAACGGACAUGCACCACUUCCAGACCUGGCACCGGCAAACCCCCCAUGGCAACCCUCCAACCCUUUCCUCAACAACUGGACCACGCUGGAAAGGACUGAGGAUCUAGAGGAGGACAGGGCUGUAAUAUGGAAGGAGUUUGGUUUCUGAAGGACCAUGUAGCAGGCCACCUGCAGGGCGGGAACAUCUUUAAUAGGUUUGGAAUAGCAAGAAAUAAACUGGUCUUGUAUUAAACAA
RNAcentral lists this long non-coding RNA (451 nucleotides) under Homo sapiens (human). RNAcentral's name for it is "HSALNT0297028". Lineage: Eukaryota; Metazoa; Chordata; Mammalia; Primates; Hominidae. The record is from RNAcentral.